UGGCACAAGAGCCAUAAAUUAUGAGUAAAACUACUGGCAGUACUCCUGCAGUAGUGAUAUAAUGGCUACAUGUACACAAUGUAGAAUUUGUAAUGGUAUUUUUUUUAGGGGGGGGGCGCUGACACCAAAGUGAUAUGUUAACUUUUAAUUAGCACUGAGAGAAAAGCAGAGGGGGGAGAGAGAGAGAGACUUUUAUUUUUUUUAUUUCUCGAUGCAAUAGAAGUAGUUUCAAAAGUUAUGAACGUUUUAGGCGAUUUAUUUUCAUCCAUGCUGCGAGAUUAAGAGGGUAGUCCCGGUUUUGUUUUGUUUCUUUCUAAUCUUAAACACGUUAGAUUGCAUUCAUGGUACUGCAUCUGAUAAAUGGAUUGUUAUACACUUUAUAAAUUAUGUCUGGAUUAAGAUGGGUUGGACGGUAUCAACAAUUGCAUCCGAGUUACAGUAUUCAUUUGGAUGCAAAUCCGUUGAUGAAGAUGCAGUUCAUAAAUCAUUAAAGCUGAACUAAUUGACAGCGAGAUAACAUCAUUCAGCAACCUACUUUGGAUUUCAAAGCGUGUGGAUCAUAUUAUAAUUGUGAACUCUGUCGAUCCCUUGCGAGAAAGAUGUGGAAUUCCAAGUCCAUUCCUGAAUUAUUAAGUACGCUUCAAGUAGUUGUUGGUCUUUUGAUUGUGUGAGCCCACAACGUCAUAUAAAGUGGUGUUAAACUUGGAGAUGGAAUUCUUUUGACCGUCGCGUCGUACUUCCAACGGCACUUCCAGAUCACUUUUACAGAUGCACCUAGCUGGGGCAAGGGGUGGUGUCAGAUGGGCAGAUUUAACCUGAAUAUUUGAAGAUUAGUGGAGAUUGGGAUAGCUGAAGCUAGCGACGGUAACACGUAUCCUCCUUCACAACCAUCUGAUUUUCUAUCAUCUUGGACCGCGUUGAUGUUAGGAAACGUCAUAGAGCAUUGGAGCAUGAGCAGUAUUAAGAGCAUUAUAGUCCGACGACGUCAGCAGACGGCGAGUCAAAAAUCGAGAUGCUAAAUACACAUGAUUAAUAAUUAGUCAGCUUCAAGUUUGAAAUAUCGACGCAGAGUAGUUAUAUUGACUCAUUGACCGCAAAAACCUACGUGUGAACCUCUCAUGCUCCAAGCAAAAGAAAGUCUGAUGGAAGAAUAGAGUUUAAGUACAGACUGAUGAAGGCCGUUUAUUUACUGCCUCGGCGAAGCAAGCAGAAAUGCAAAUCAUGCGAGUCAAUAUAUCCAUCAAACACGGGGGUCCUCAAACACCACCCAGCGUCCAUUGCCCUUCAACAUCAAAGUUGCUGCUCCAAAUGACAGAUAAUACGGAUGAUCAAAAUCAAGAAUUCAACCAGAAACUGCAACAUGUCAUUGACAAGGUUAAUCCAUCCAUCCAUUAUCCGAACCUCUUAUAAAAAAAAUAAAAUAUAUUAUUAUUCUACAAAGUGAAUAGCCACAUUGGCAGUCAGGGGAGGAUAUAGUGACAAACUGUCUUAGGUUGCUCUGAAUGCAAAUGCCAGCUCACUGGGAACUCGUAGUGCAUGAACAAGAACACGGGGCAAAGAGAGGGCACUUGAGGGCUGCUAGCAAAAGGAGGAAGCGCAGAAAUCGGUGGUGCAGAACAGGUAUUGUCAUGACAGGAGAAGCCCCAUGGCUGAUGUGAAUUCACUCUAUUAAUCCACUAUAAUAAAAAAAUGCCUUGGGAAUAACCUGGCCACCAGUGAGACACCCACUAACCUUCCCAUUUAAUUAAGCACACAUACUCUGUUAUCUUGUUUCUAAUUUGACUCGCGGAUUUAAACUAAAUAACUUGUUUUGACUAUUGACUCAGGAGCACGAUAAAGGCUUGAACAGAAUCAAAGAUUUAUUAUUCGUCAGUGUCAAAGUCUGACUCAACAGAAGAACGCUGUACUGGUAAAGUGUUCUAUGAUUGGAGUUAGGCAGACAAAAGUGGAAGUAAACAAGUCUGGAUAUGUUGAUGAUGACCGAUACGAAAUUAGAUUGUUUGGAAGGCCUUACAUUAUUAGCUUAUUUUCUGCACUGUAAAGUUUAAAACUGUUUUCAUAUAUAGGGCGCAUCGCAUUAUAAGGCGCAUGGAAUAGAAGCUGCAAUUUAUGGGGGGCUGCGUUUAUGUUUUACAUCCACUAGAUAGAGCUACACUAAAGGGAAUACAAUACAAUACAAAAUAGCUUUAUUUAAAUAGAGCCUUCACAACCGCUGCAGCUGUAACACAGCGCUUUAUUGAACAUUUAAAAUACUAUGUCUAAGAAGUCAGAAUAUUGGGCCACAUAUAAGGCACAUCAGAUCAUAAGGUGCAUUGUCGGCGUUUGAGAAAAUUAAAUGCUUUUAUGUUUUUCUUAUAGUGCGGAAAAUACGGUACUUAUAUCUCGUUUCUCAGUUUGGUCGCUUCCACGCAGUUUCUGAUGGAUGCACAAUCAGACGAAUCAAGUCAGGUUGGGCAGUGGGUGCAAGAGUAGCGCCACCUCAACUUUGUGUCGAAGACAUCUUCUGAAUGCAGCACAGAAGUGUGGGGGUCAUAUACGUGUCACACACAUACUUGUAUUCGGUGCAAAAACAUGGACGCUCACCGAUGCCGCAAGUAUCACAGCCUCAUUGUCAAGUCAAGGUCAGUAGCCGCAUCAGUCACGCUGCCCGCGUCGCUGGUCAGCCAACAAAUCAGACAAAGUUUAUUCAAUGCAGAACACGGUCACCCUGAGACCACAAAUGAUAUUGCGAGCGUUAUAUAUUUUUUUCUUGAAAUUGAACUUUAAUUUAAGGCAAUUCAUGACAAAGCAUUUCACAACCAACCAUUUGACAAUAAUCAUGUACAAUAAAGGAAAGCAGAGUGUCAUGCAAGAACAAAACAAAACAAACAAACAAAAAAGAGAAAUAAAUGCUGUAUAAACAACAAAGAUCAAUCGUGGCAGUUGAAAAUAAAUCAACUGUAACAUGCUAAUUACAUGCUACAAUUUAGUGUUUUGGACCAGCGGUGAGAGGAGAAAUGCAAGGA
Long non-coding RNA from Hippocampus zosterae (dwarf seahorse), 3005 nucleotides. RefSeq lists it as uncharacterized. The record is from RefSeq and is a predicted model, not a curated record. The transcript has 2 exons. NCBI's taxonomy places the organism in Eukaryota, Metazoa, Chordata, Actinopteri, Syngnathiformes, Syngnathidae.